UUGUCUUACCCAUUCCUCCCA
RNAcentral lists this microRNA (21 nucleotides) under Medicago truncatula (barrel medic). Its description in RNAcentral is "mtr-miR1510a-5p". Lineage: Eukaryota; Viridiplantae; Streptophyta; Magnoliopsida; Fabales; Fabaceae. The record is from miRBase by way of RNAcentral.